RNAcentral lists this long non-coding RNA (321 nucleotides) under Equus asinus (donkey). RNAcentral describes it as "lncRNA (ENSEASG00005038423.1)". Lineage: Eukaryota; Metazoa; Chordata; Mammalia; Perissodactyla; Equidae. The record is from RNAcentral.
GUAACAUGCUCAGAAUCAUAAAUGGUUGAGCCCUGAUCAGAACCCAGGAACUGGUGACAGUGAAGGAUGAGGAAAUGGAUUUUGCCCAUGUGGAGGUGGACCAGCUGAAUUCUGCCCAGAGGAACAUGGGCCUGGAUCUGAAGGUGGAGAGUUGUGGAAGCCUGGUAUUUUGGGGUGACCUGCAUCCCAGAAUGUUUCCCUGCUCUCUGCUUGCCUUAUUCCUGAGUGCCCUGCCCAUCACCAACACCACGGAGUUAGAGAAUCCAAACAAAAAGAUGGGAACCCCAAGGUUGGAGCAACCAGGGGACGUGAUCAUUGGAG